AAAUUGAAGAGUUUGAUCAUGGCUCAGAUUGAACGCUGGCGGCAGGCCUAACACAUGCAAGUCGAACGGUAACAGGAAGCAGCUUGCUGCUUUGCUGACGAGUGGCGGACGGGUGAGUAAUGUCUGGGAAACUGCCUGAUGGAGGGGGAUAACUACUGGAAACGGUGGCUAAUACCGCAUAACGUCGCAAGACCAAAGAGGGGGACCUUCGGGCCUCUUGCCAUCAGAUGUGCCCAGAUGGGAUUAGCUUGUUGGUGAGGUAACGGCUCACCAAGCGACGAUCCCUAGCUGGUCUGAGAGGAUGACCAGCCACACUGGAACUGAGACACGGUCCAGACUCCUACGGGAGGCAGCAGUGGGGAAUAUUGCACAAUGGGCGCAAGCCUGAUGCAGCCAUGCCGCGUGUAUGAAGAAGGCCUUCGGGUUGUAAAGUACUUUCAGCGGGGAGGAAGGUGUUGUGGUUAAUAACCGCAGCAAUUGACGUUACCCGCAGAAGAAGCACCGGCUAACUCCGUGCCAGCAGCCGCGGUAAUACGGAGGGUGCAAGCGUUAAUCGGAAUUACUGGGCGUAAAGCGCACGCAGGCGGUCUGUCAAGUCGGAUGUGAAAUCCCCGGGCUCAACCUGGGAACUGCAUUCGAAACUGGCAGGCUUGAGUCUUGUAGAGGGGGGUAGAAUUCCAGGUGUAGCGGUGAAAUGCGUAGAGAUCUGGAGGAAUACCGGUGGCGAAGGCGGCCCCCUGGACAAAGACUGACGCUCAGGUGCGAAAGCGUGGGGAGCAAACAGGAUUAGAUACCCUGGUAGUCCACGCCGUAAACGAUGUCUACUUGGAGGUUGUGCCCUUGAGGCGUGGCUUCCGGAGCUAACGCGUUAAGUAGACCGCCUGGGGAGUACGGCCGCAAGGUUAAAACUCAAAUGAAUUGACGGGGGCCCGCACAAGCGGUGGAGCAUGUGGUUUAAUUCGAUGCAACGCGAAGAACCUUACCUGGUCUUGACAUCCACAGAACUUUCCAGAGAUGGAUUGGUGCCUUCGGGAACUGUGAGACAGGUGCUGCAUGGCUGUCGUCAGCUCGUGUUGUGAAAUGUUGGGUUAAGUCCCGCAACGAGCGCAACCCUUAUCCUUUGUUGCCAGCGAUUAGGUCGGGAACUCAAAGGAGACUGCCAGUGAUAAACUGGAGGAAGGUGGGAUGACGUCAAGUCAUCAUGGCCCUUACGACCAGGGCUACACACGUGCUACAAUGGCGCAUACAAAGAGAAGCGACCUCGCGAGAGCAAGCGGACCUCAUAAAGUGCGUCGUAGUCCGGAUUGGAGUCUGCAACUCGACUCCAUGAAGUCGGAAUCGCUAGUAAUCGUGGAUCAGAAUGCCACGGUGAAUACGUUCCCGGGCCUUGUACACACCGCCCGUCACACCAUGGGAGUGGGUUGCAAAAGAAGUAGGUAGCUUAACCUUCGGGAGGGCGCUUACCACUUUGUGAUUCAUGACUGGGGUGAAGUCGUAACAAGGUAACCGUAGGGGAACCUGCGGUUGGAUCACCUCCUUACCUUAAAGAA
RNAcentral lists this ribosomal RNA (1550 nucleotides) under Salmonella enterica subsp. enterica serovar Hvittingfoss. RNAcentral's name for it is "bacterial SSU rRNA". It matches the Rfam family "Bacterial small subunit ribosomal RNA". Lineage: Bacteria; Pseudomonadati; Pseudomonadota; Gammaproteobacteria; Enterobacterales; Enterobacteriaceae. The record is from RNAcentral.